UACGGGGGGUGCGAGCGUUGUCCGGAAUCACUGGGCGUAAAGGGCGCGUAGGCGGCACUGCAAGUCAGUUGUGAAAUCUCCGGGCUUAACCCGGAAAGGUCAACUGAUACUGCAGGGCUAGAGUACAGAAGGGGCAACUGGAAUUCUCGGUGUAGCGGUGAAAUGCGUAGAUAUCGAGAGGAACACCUGCGGCGAAGGCGGGUUGCUGGGCUGACACUGACGCUGAGGCGCGAAAGCCAGGGGAGCGAACGGG
This 253-nucleotide ribosomal RNA is filed under the name uncultured bacterium. RNAcentral's name for it is "partial 16S ribosomal RNA". It matches the Rfam family "Bacterial small subunit ribosomal RNA", at positions 524 to 776 of the family's 1533-position model. The record is from RNAcentral.